GUCCACGUGACUUCGUCCUCAAGCCGUUUCAUCGCGGGAAGCCUGGUGUGCUCUGCAGUUUCCCAGUGUUCUGAUCAUCUCAAGACCAAUAAUAUCCCAGUUUCCUUUUGUUGUUGAUUUUGGCCUUAGAUAAGCAAACGUGAUGAGGCAAAGUGUGUGUGAUACUUCACACAGUAUCUGAUGAGUAACAGAAUGAGCACUGCAGAGGACAGUACUAUUAUUUUUACAAUCUGUCCUCGCCUUCUUUUCUUUAGGAAGGGGCCUGGAGAUGCCAGCACCAUUGAGUUCCAGAGCACAGAUAUUCAUUGGAUAAUUACUACAUUACAUCCAUCAUCUGAUUUACUCUCCGUGUGUAACUGGAUGAGCAUUAUCACCAUCAGAAUGCAGAUGCAGGUACCAAAAGGGCUGCAUCUGGGAAGAAAGUACAUCUGGGAAGAAAGAAGUCUGAGCUUCCUAUAAGCCAAGGCAAAGAGAGAAACAAGACCAGUUAUGACACCCACAGUGUUCAUUGGAUAAGGACGUGACAUUUUGUCAAAUGAAGUCAUAUGAUAUAUUUACUUUUCAGAUGCUUAUUAUCUAUUCUCUCACUAGCAUGAACAUUCCAUACAGGAAAGGUUUUUGUUUAAUUAUUUGCUAUAUCCUUGAUGCCAGAACAGUGCCUGGUAUAUAGUAAGUGCUCAAUAAAUGUUUGCUGAUUUUAAAAAUAAAUAAAUAAAUAAAUAAAUAAAAUUUGAGGUUCUUCCCACUCUGGAAAUCAACAGGUCAAUAUGGUUGAUCAACUCCUGUUUUCAUUUAUGGAUACAAUGUACUUCAUUCUAAAAAGCAUUUGAGGUGACUCCAGAAAUAUAUAAUAUUAAAAGAACAAAACAAAAUCAAGUCUAAAUGACAAAGAGAAUUGCCUAAGAUGAUAAAGCACAGAGAAUCAGUAUGCAGAUGCAGGUACCACAAGGGCUGUACUAAGAUUUUCAAAAUGGGAAGAAAAUACAUGUCUGAGCUUCCUAUACACCAAGGCAAAGAGAGACACAUGGCCAGUAAUGGCACCCACAGUCCUCAUUAGACAAAGGGGUGACAUAUUCUCAAAUGUAGUCCUAUUUCUUUUUGGUGGGUAAAGACG
Molecule: long non-coding RNA, 1114 nt
Filed under: Macaca mulatta (Rhesus monkey)
Lineage: Eukaryota; Metazoa; Chordata; Mammalia; Primates; Cercopithecidae
Description: lncRNA (ENSMMUG00000055060.1)
Source: RNAcentral